GAUGAACGCUGGCGGCGUGCCUAAUACAUGCAAGUCGAGCGAACAGACGAGGAGCUUGCUCCUCUGACGUUAGCGGCGGACGGGCGAGUAACAAGUGGAUAACCUACCUAUAAGACUGGGAUAACUUCGGGAAACCGGAGCGAAUACCGGAUAAAAUAUUUAACCUCAGGGUUCAAUAGGACAAGAAGGUUUUGCUGUGACUUAUGGAUGGAUCCGGGCCGCUUUAGUUGGUUGGUAAGGUAACGGCUUACCAAGGCGACGAUGCGUAGCCGACCGGAUGGGGUGAUCGGCCCCCCUGGAACUGAGACACGGUCCAGACUCCUACGGGAGGCAGCAGUAGGGAAUCGUCCGCAAUGGGCGAAAGCCUGACGGAGCAACGCCGCGUGAGUGAUGAAGGUCUUCGGAUCGUAAAACUCUGUUAUUAGGGAAGAACAAAUGUGUAAGUAACUAUGCACGUCUUGACGGUACCUAAUCGGAAAGCCACGGCUAACUACGUG
Molecule: ribosomal RNA, 497 nt
Filed under: uncultured bacterium
Lineage: Bacteria
Description: partial 16S ribosomal RNA
Rfam family: Bacterial small subunit ribosomal RNA
Source: RNAcentral